This 212-nucleotide long non-coding RNA is filed under the name Nicotiana benthamiana. RNAcentral's name for it is "long non-coding RNA (NBEN_LNC008987)". The record is from RNAcentral. Lineage: Eukaryota; Viridiplantae; Streptophyta; Magnoliopsida; Solanales; Solanaceae.
GCAGACUCUGUAUCACAAAAGUUCUUGGUGAUUUGGAGAGCACUAGGAAGAUCAUCUAGACAAGGCCACCUCUGCCUAGUGUAGUCAUCAUAACCCUCACAGGGUAUGUCCAGAAUCUUGCCCAAUUUAGGUGCAUCAAACUGCGCCUUCACUCCCCUAACCACACUGGUGACUACCCCAUUUUUCACAGUGGCAUUAGCCAUGAACUCGAU